AGGGAGAUGGUUGAGUGGUUGAAAACAACGGUUUGCUAAAUCGUCACGCUGGUUUAAGUGUCAUGGGUUCGAAUCCCAUUCUUCCUA
RNAcentral lists this transfer RNA (87 nucleotides) under Prionitis cornea. RNAcentral's name for it is "Grateloupia cornea tRNA-Ser". It matches the Rfam family "tRNA". Rfam says of the family: Transfer RNA (tRNA) molecules are approximately 80 nucleotides in length. Their secondary structure includes four short double-helical elements and three loops (D, anti-codon, and T loops). Lineage: Eukaryota; Rhodophyta; Florideophyceae; Halymeniales; Halymeniaceae. The record is from RNAcentral.